Polistes canadensis is the source of this 1689-nucleotide RNA transcript. It is a transcript of the gene named autophagy protein 12-like, with no coding region annotated. NCBI's taxonomy places the organism in Eukaryota, Metazoa, Arthropoda, Insecta, Hymenoptera, Vespidae. The record is from RefSeq and is a predicted model, not a curated record. The transcript is spliced from 4 exons.
AGUAUACAAAUGCGGUUCUAAGUGUUAACAUAGGUUAUUCGAAUGUUUAAUAAUGAUAUGAUAACAACAAAUAUAUUAGGAACAACGAAUGUGUUUUUGACGUAGUCAAUACACGAUUCUAUUUCAUGAUUUAUCUGUGGUCGUUUCAUUUAUUAUACUAAGUUAUUAAUAAGUUAAGUUGUUAAGUUAAUAAUAAGUUGUAAAUAAUGGCUGAGAAGGAAAGUGAUAGUACGACAAGUGAGGUUAUAAAAACUGAAGAAUUACCUGAUAACACAGCAAAUGAGGAAGCACCAACAAGUUUGGAAAAUAUAUCACAGGAUACUAAUACUACUAGAAACGAUAGUCCCCCAGUUGCUUCAAAAGAUAAAGAAAGAGUUACAGUUGAUAUUUUAUUGAAAGCAACUGGCAAUGCACCUAUCAUGAAACAAAAAAAAUGGUCCGUUAAUCAGGAUUAUCAUAUUGGAAAGGUAUCAGAUUUUCUAAAGAAAUAUCUCAAAUUAGAGCCUUCUGAAAGAUUAUUUCUUUAUGUAAAUCAAACUUUUGCACCGGCACCAGAUCAAACGUUAAAAAACUUAUACGAUUGUUAUGGAGCUGAUGGAAAAUUGAUUAUUCAUUAUUGCAAAAGUCCAGCGUGGGGUUAAUCGUAAACUUCCUGUUUGAAGUUUGAGCAUCUUGUUGUAUCAUUUUAUUACGGAGACGCACGGCGUUGGCUAGACGAUGAUACGGAGUUUGUCGUUUCAAUUGCCUUUGCCGGGCUACAUUUAGAACUAAGCAAUGAUUUUUUUUCCAUCUUAUUCGCGCGACUACAAACAUUAGAGGAUACUUCAGUUUUCACAGUUCUUACCUGAAAUACAAAAUAUUUAUUAAGUCGUAUACUAAGAGAACAUAAUUAAUGUUAUUUUUACAUAAAAUCAAAUUUAGCAUUUUAAUUAGAAUUUAAUUGUACCAACCGAUAUUGUGUCUUUGUCUUUGAUGCACGUGCAAACUGGGGAAGGUAUACCAGCUGGAUCGCGCGUACAUGGCUGUGGCUGAUCAUCACCUAUGAUAUAUUUAUAUUAAAUUUAAUAGAAUUACUUUAUUCAUCGAAAUACGUUGAAUCGUAUGAAUAAUAAUUUUAAUUUUGUUAAUACCAUGGUACAUAGUUCUAACACUUUCAGCAGUCUCAUCCACACGGCUCAUAGCAGAAACAUGUUCUUUCUCUAAAUUGUCCAACUUUAAAUCGUCGUCGCGUUUCCCUUCAGAUUUCGUUAAUGAUUUAACGGUAUGUGCCGUCGUAGAUUUCGAUUUGAUGGAUGGUGUUUUAAGAGACGUCUUAAAUGGAAACUUCCAAAUAAUGAUAGCGCCAUCGGCACUAACGGAUACCACAUGUUCCCCGUCUGGGCUAAAUUUACACGCAGUUAUUAUCGCGGCAUGACCUAUGCCAAUGUGUGUGACAUUGGCUGUAUGAUAUUCCCAGAGCUUAACAAUACAAUCGUUUGAACCAGUGACGAAGUAUUGUCCAUCAAGAUUAAUGUCUAUGCAAUUUAAUGAUCCUGAGGUGGAACCUUCAACUUCACGAACCAACGAACCAUCCCAUGUUUCCCAGUAUGCAAUCUUACGAUCAGUACCACAAGUCAAGAUUUGUAUGCUGUUGGGACUAAAGCAUGCAGCCAUAUACAUCGUGUUACCCAUUAAAACUUGCUUCCUCGA